RNAcentral lists this ribosomal RNA (330 nucleotides) under uncultured eukaryote. RNAcentral describes it as "partial 18S ribosomal RNA". It matches the Rfam family "Eukaryotic small subunit ribosomal RNA", at positions 1470 to 1796 of the family's 1831-position model. The record is from RNAcentral.
CCCUUAGAUGUUCUGGGCCGCACGCGCGCUACACUGAUGCAUUCAACGAGUCUAAAACCUGGUCUGAUAGGGCUGGGUAAUCUUUUGAAAGCGCAUCGUGAUUGGGAUAGAUGAUUGCAAUUCUUCAUCUUCAACGAGGAAUGCCUAGUAAACGCAAGUCAUCAGCUUGCAUUGAUUACGUCCCUGCCCUUUGUACACACCGCCCGUCGCUCCUACCGAUUGAAUGAUCCGAUGAAUACCAUGGAUUGAGAGUACGAAUGGGUUCGCUCAUUUCUGCUGCUCGAGAAGUGGAGUAAAUCUUAUCAUUUAGAGGAAGGAGAAGUCGUAACA